GAGCGCGCACGCUGGGACCCGAAAGAUGGUGAACUAUGCCUGGUCAGGACGAAGUCAGGGGAAACCCUGAUGGAGGUCCGUAGCA
Molecule: ribosomal RNA, 85 nt
Filed under: Cloeon dipterum
Lineage: Eukaryota; Metazoa; Arthropoda; Insecta; Ephemeroptera; Baetidae
Description: partial 28S ribosomal RNA
Rfam family: Eukaryotic large subunit ribosomal RNA
Source: RNAcentral